UAGGGAAUCUUCGGCAAUGGGGGCAACCCUGACCGAGCAACGCCGCGUGAGUGAAGAAGGUUUUCGGAUCGUAAAGCUCUGUUGUAAGUCAAGAACGGGUGUGAGAGUGGAAAGUUCACACUGUGACGGUAGCUUACCAGAAAGGGACGGCUAACUACGUGCCAGCAGCCGCGGUAAUACGUAGGUCCCGAGCGUUGUCCGGAUUUAUUGGGCGUAAAGCGAGCG
This 225-nucleotide ribosomal RNA is filed under the name uncultured bacterium. RNAcentral describes it as "partial 16S ribosomal RNA". It matches the Rfam family "Bacterial small subunit ribosomal RNA", at positions 355 to 571 of the family's 1533-position model. The record is from RNAcentral.